This 374-nucleotide ribosomal RNA is filed under the name Citrobacter freundii. RNAcentral's name for it is "bacterial SSU rRNA". It matches the Rfam family "Bacterial small subunit ribosomal RNA", at positions 1 to 371 of the family's 1533-position model. Lineage: Bacteria; Pseudomonadati; Pseudomonadota; Gammaproteobacteria; Enterobacterales; Enterobacteriaceae. The record is from RNAcentral.
AAAUUGAAGAGUUUGAUCAUGGCUCAGAUUGAACGCUGGCGGCAGGCCUAACACAUGCAAGUCGAACGGUAGCACAGAGGAGCUUGCUCCUUGGGUGACGAGUGGCGGACGGGUGAGUAAUGUCUGGGAAACUGCCCGAUGGAGGGGGAUAACUACUGGAAACGGUAGCUAAUACCGCAUAACGUCGCAAGACCAAAGAGGGGGACCUUCGGGCCUCUUGCCAUCGGAUGUGCCCAGAUGGGAUUAGCUAGUAGGUGGGGUAACGGCUCACCUAGGCGACGAUCCCUAGCUGGUCUGAGAGGAUGACCAGCCACACUGGAACUGAGACACGGUCCAGACUCCUACGGGAGGCAGCAGUGGGGAAUAUUGCACAA